Astatotilapia calliptera (eastern happy) is the source of this 1073-nucleotide long non-coding RNA. The record is from Ensembl. Lineage: Eukaryota; Metazoa; Chordata; Actinopteri; Cichliformes; Cichlidae.
CUGGGUGUUGAAGAAAAUAUAAUUUGAUCAAACAUUAUUCAGCUUUAAAUAUUGUUCAGCUUUAAAGUUACUGUGCAACUGUGUAAUAAAAAUAUGCGCUCACGACUUUGGCCUUGAGAGCGAUAAGAAGCGAUCGCCUCAUUCUGCAGGUGCAAGAUAUCUGCAAGCGAAGAGACUAGAACACCCAAGGCCGCUUUCCUUUUAUGGAGUUGUUUUUCUGCUAAUGCAGCACUGUCCUCACAACCCCCUCCUGUAAGUUUUAGAGAAUAUAUACCCAUCCUCACAGCAAAUAUUAGGAAUCUCCUGAUGUGAGCUGUUUGAGAGGUUGUCUCUGUCUCAAUAAAAGUUCACUGAUUCCCCCAUCUGCUGCAGGUGUCCGGUUGUCUUCAUUCUCCGCCAGCCUGGAUCCGCUCCAGGCCAAACUGGAACGGGUGGGAGGACAUCGGCCGUGGUCUGAGUGAACGGAGUUUGGACAAAAGCUGUGUGCACACAAAAACAAGGACAGCUGUUACUGCUUUCAUCGGGAACCGAGACUGCUUGCAGCCGACCCCUGGGCAGGGUGGUGCCUGGACUCUUUUCUCCUCAUCUGCAAUGACAGAUAAAGACAAAUGAUAAGACCCGAGGAGUUUUUCGAGCCAGGCUUCGACACGUCUCUGUGUUCCUUUGAAUGUUACUUAUUUUUGUGUGUUGACCCAUUUAAGAUGGGUCAAAAGGGGGAUUUGAAGAAAAUAUAAUUUGAUCAAACAUUAUUCAGCUUUAAAUAUUGUUCAGCUUUAAAGUUACUGUGCAACUGUGUAAUAAAAAUAUGCGCUCACGACUUUGGCCUUGAGAGCGAUAAGAAGCGAUCGCCUCAUUCUGCAGGUGCAAGAUAUCUGCAAGCGAAGAGACUAGAACACCCAAGGCCGCUUUCCUUUUAUGGAGUUGUUUUUCUGCUAAUGCAGCACUGUCCUCACAACCCCCUCCUGUAAGUUUUAGAGAAUAUAUACCCAUCCUCACAGCAAAUAUUAGGAAUCUCCUGAUGUGAGCUGUUUGAGAGGUUGUCUCUGUCUCAAUAAAAGUUCACUGAUUCCCCC